GAUCCUGGCUCAAGAUGAACGCUAGCUACAGGCUUAACACAUGCAAGUCGAGGGGCAGCAUGGUCUUAGCUUGCUAAGACUGAUGGCGACUGGCGCACGGGUGAGUAACACGUAUCCAACCUGCCGUCUACUCUUGGACAGCCUUCUGAAAGGAAGAUUAAUACAAGAUGGCAUCAUGAGUCCGCAUGUUCACAUGAUUAAAGGUAUUCCGGUAGACGAUGGGGA
RNAcentral lists this ribosomal RNA (225 nucleotides) under uncultured bacterium. Its description in RNAcentral is "partial 16S ribosomal RNA". It matches the Rfam family "Bacterial small subunit ribosomal RNA", at positions 15 to 231 of the family's 1533-position model. The record is from RNAcentral.